RNAcentral lists this ribosomal RNA (371 nucleotides) under uncultured organism. RNAcentral's name for it is "partial 16S ribosomal RNA". It matches the Rfam family "Bacterial small subunit ribosomal RNA", at positions 527 to 896 of the family's 1533-position model. The record is from RNAcentral.
GUAGGUGGCAAGCGUUGUCCGGAAUUAUUGGGCGUAAAGCGCGCGCAGGCGGUUCUUUAAGUCUGAUGUGAAAGCCCACGGCUCAACCGUGGAGGGUCAUUGGAAACUGGAGAACUUGAGUACAGAAGAGGAAAGCGGAAUUCCACGUGUAGCGGUGAAAUGCGUAGAGAUGUGGAGGAACACCAGUGGCGAAGGCGGCUUUCUGGUCUGUAACUGACGCUGAGGCGCGAAAGCGUGGGGAGCAAACAGGAUUAGAUACCCUGAUAGUCCACGCCGUAAACGAUGAGUGCUAAGUGUUAGGGGGUUUCCGCCCCUUAGUGCUGCAGCUAACGCAUUAAGCACUCCCGCCUGGGAGUACGGCCGCAAGGCUG